CGCAAUGGGCGACAGCCUGAAGGAGCAAUACCGCGUGAGGGAUGACGGCCUGUGGGUUGUAAACCUCUUUUGUCAAGGAAGAAAUUCUGACGGUACUUGAGGAAUAAGCAUCGGCUAACUUUGUGCCAGCAGCCGCGGUAAUACAGAGGAUGCAAGCGUUAUCCGGAAUCACUGGGCAUAAAGGGUCUGUAGGUUGCAUAGCAAGUCAGCUGUUAAAGACUAGGGCCUAACCCUAGGAAAGCAGUGGAAACUACUAUACUUGAGUGUGGUAGAGGUAGAGGGAAUUCCUGGUGUAGCGGUGAAAUGCGUAGAUAUUAGGAAGAACACCUAAGGCGAAAGCACUCUACUAGGCCAUUCCUGACUCUGAGAGACGACAGCUA
Molecule: ribosomal RNA, 380 nt
Filed under: uncultured organism
Description: bacterial SSU rRNA
Rfam family: Bacterial small subunit ribosomal RNA
Source: RNAcentral